UCACAGUGGUGACACUCCAUCGUCGGUUC
Molecule: small RNA, 29 nt
Filed under: Bombyx mori (domestic silkworm)
Lineage: Eukaryota; Metazoa; Arthropoda; Insecta; Lepidoptera; Bombycidae
Description: ovarian small RNA-3205
Source: RNAcentral